Quercus lobata is the source of this 613-nucleotide long non-coding RNA. RefSeq lists it as uncharacterized. NCBI's taxonomy places the organism in Eukaryota, Viridiplantae, Streptophyta, Magnoliopsida, Fagales, Fagaceae. The record is from RefSeq and is a predicted model, not a curated record. The transcript has 3 exons.
CUUCUCUCUCUCCUCAUCAUCUCUCUUCUCUCUUGUUCCUUUGUACUAGCUCCUCACCUCUUCUUCAACUCUGUUUCCACUUUCUCUCUACUCUAUUCAUUUGGAGACCCCUUUGCUGAUAUGGGUGCAAAUACUCCCGUGUUCUUCAGUCUCUAAUGGAACAAUAUGCUGUGAUAGGAGCAAUAUUCGUUCUGAUAUUUGUGUUAUGAAAGGGGAUGUUAGAACACACUCUGCUUCCUCUUCAAUCUUCCUUUACACCUCAAGAGACAAAAAUGAUUUCGUUAAUUAUGGUGAUGAAAAGGGAGAUGAGGUAAUCCAGCAUGAAAAGAUCAGACCAUAUACACGAAAAUGGGAAAAGGGUACUAUGGACACCAUUGAUGAAUUAGACCUUAUUGCAAAGAAAGAGCAUUCUGUUGUAAAUCAUCGUUGUGAUGUCCGGCAUGAUGUUCUGGCUGUAUUCCUAUGCAUGUGAUGUGUGGCUUAGUUAUAAACUUAUAAUUAUAUUUGUAAUGUACAGUCAAGAAGCAAGAGGCACACCAAGUAGAACUUAAUGAGUAGGUCAUGCUAUCUAAGGUUGUCGAAGAAUUUGAUCUUGAAGCAUACAAUUUGUGGG